AGAGUUUGAUCCUGGCUCAGAUUGAACGCUGGCGGUAUGCUUAACACAUGCAAGUCGAACGGUAACAGCAGAGUUUGUUCUGGCUGACGAGUGGCGGACGGGUGCGUAACGCGUGGGAAUCUACCUUAUAGUGGGGGAUAGCCCGGAGAAAUCCGGAUUAAUACCGCAUAAGCCCUAUGGGGGAAAAGGGGCCUUUUUUUGGAAGCUCUUGCUACUAGAUGAGCCCGCGUAAGAUUAGCUUGUUGGUGGGGUAAUGGCCUACCAAGGCGACGAUCUUUAGCUGGUCUGAGAGGAUGAUCAGCCACACUGGGACUGAGACACGGCCCAGACUCCUAUGGGAGGCAGCAGUGGGGAAUAUUGGACAAUGGGCGCAAGCCUGAUCCAGCAAUACCGCGUGUGUGAAGAAGGCCUGAGGGUUGUAAAGCACUUUCAAUUGUGAAGAAAAGCCUUAAAUUAAUACUUUAGGGUCUUGACGUUAACUUUAGAAGAAGCACCGGCUAACUCCGUGUUAGUAGUUGUGGUAAUACGGAGGGUGCAAGCGUCAAUCGGAAUUACUGGGCGUAAAGCGCACGUAGGCGGUUAGGUAAGUCAGAUGUGAAAGCCCCGGGCUCAACCUGGGAACUGCAUUUGAUACUGCUUAACUAGAGUAUAGUAGAGGCAAGUGGAAUUCCAGGUGUAGCGGUGAAAUGCGUAGAUAUCUGGAGGAAUAUUAGUGGCGAAGGCGACUUGCUGGACUAAUACUGACGCUGAGGUGCGAAAGCGUGGGGAGUAAACAGGAUUAGAUAUCCUGGUAGUCCACGCCGUAAACGAUGUCAACUAGCCGUUGGGAGCAUUUAAGCUUUUAGUGGCGCAGCUAACGCAUUAAGUUGACCGCCUGGGGAGUACGCGCGCAAGCGUAAAACUCAAAGGAAUUGACGGGGGCCCGCACAAGCGGUGGAGCAUGUGGUUUAAUUCGAUGCAAUGUGAAGAACCUUACCAGCCCUUGACAUCCUGCGAACUUUCUAGAGAUAGAUUGGUGCCUUUGGGAACGCAGUGACAGGUGCUGCAUGGCUGUCGUCAGCUCGUGUUGUGAGAUGUUGGGUUAAGUCCCGCAACAAGCGUAACCCUUGUCCUUAGUUGCCAGCAUGUAAUGGUGGGAAUUUUAAGGAGACUGCCGGUGAUAAACCGGAGGAAGGUGGGGAUGACGUUAAGUCAUUAUGACCCUUAUGGGCUGGGCUACACACGUGCUACAAUGGCAAGUAUAGAGGGCUGUAAUCCCGUGAGGGGGAGCCAAUUUUAUAAAGUUUGUCUUAGUCCGGAUUGGAGUCUGCAACUCGACUCCAUGAAGUCGGAAUCGCUAGUAAUCGUAGAUUAGUAUUGCUACGGUGAAUAUGUUUUUGGGCCUUGUAUAUAUUGCCCGUCACACCAUGGGAGUGGGUUGCAAAAGAAGUGGGUAGCUUAAUAAUGGGCGCUCACCACUUUGUGAUUCAUGACUGGGGUGAAGUUGUAAUAAGGUA
Molecule: ribosomal RNA, 1496 nt
Filed under: metagenome
Description: bacterial SSU rRNA
Rfam family: Bacterial small subunit ribosomal RNA
Source: RNAcentral